GGGGGGGUGCUAUAAUGCAAGUUGAGCGCUGAAGGUUGGUACUUGUACCGACUGGAUGAGCAGCGAACGGGUGAGUAACGCGUGGGGAAUCUGCCUUUGAGCGGGGGACAACAUUUGGAAACGAAUGCUAAUACCGCAUAAAAACUUUAAACACAAGUUUUAAGUUUGAAAGAUGCAAUUGCAUCACUCAAAGAUGAUCCCGCGUUGUAUUAGCUAGUUGGUGAGGUAAAGGCUCACCAAGGCGAUGAUACAUAGCCGACCUGAGAGGGUGAUCGGCCACAUUGGGACUGAGACACGGCCCAAACUCCUACGGGAGGCAGCAGUAGGGAAUCUUCGGCAAUGGACGAAAGUCUGACCGAGCAACGCCGCGUGAGUGAAGAAGGUUUUCGGAUCGUAAAACUCUGUUGGUAGAGAAGAACGUUGGUGAGAGUGGAAAGCUCAUCAAGUGACGGUAACUACCCAGAAAGGGACGGCUAACUACGUGCCAGCAGCCGCGGUAAUACGUAGGUCCCGAGCGUUGUCCGGAUUUAUUGGGCGUAAAGCGAGCGCAGGUGGUUUAUUAAGUCUGGUGUAAAAGGCAGUGGCUCAACCAUUGUAUGCAUUGGAAACUGGUAGACUUGAGUGCAGGAGAGGAGAGUGGAAUUCCAUGUGUAGCGGUGAAAUGCGUAGAUAUAUGGAGGAACACCGGUGGCGAAAGCGGCUCUCUGGCCUGUAACUGACACUGAGGCUCGAAAGCGUGGGGAGCAAACAGGAUUAGAUACCCUGGUAGUCCACGCCGUAAACGAUGAGUGCUAGAUGUAGGGAGCUAUAAGUUCUCUGUAUCGCAGCUAACGCAAUAAGCACUCCGCCUGGGGAGUACGACCGCAAGGUUGAAACUCAAAGGAAUUGACGGGGGCCCGCACAAGCGGUGGAACAUGUGGUUUAAUUCGAAGCAACGCGAAGAACCUUACCAGGUCUUGACAUACUCGGGCUAUUCCUAGAGAUAGGAAGU
This 991-nucleotide ribosomal RNA is filed under the name Lactococcus lactis. RNAcentral's name for it is "bacterial SSU rRNA". It matches the Rfam family "Bacterial small subunit ribosomal RNA", at positions 38 to 1014 of the family's 1533-position model. The record is from RNAcentral. Lineage: Bacteria; Bacillati; Bacillota; Bacilli; Lactobacillales; Streptococcaceae.